This 62-nucleotide transfer RNA is filed under the name Agnidra scabiosa. Its description in RNAcentral is "tRNA-Ser". Lineage: Eukaryota; Metazoa; Arthropoda; Insecta; Lepidoptera; Drepanidae. The record is from RNAcentral.
GAAAUAUAAUUUAAUUAAGCUGCUAACUUAACUCUUAGUGAUUAAUAAUCAUUAAUAUUUCU